UUUGAAAUAGCUCAGUCGGUAGAGCACGAGACUCUUAAUCUCAGGGUAAUGAGUUCAAGUCCCAUGUUGGGCAAAA
Molecule: non-coding RNA, 76 nt
Organism: Podarcis lilfordi (Lilford's wall lizard)
Lineage: Eukaryota; Metazoa; Chordata; Lepidosauria; Squamata; Lacertidae
Source: the annotation of a GenBank genome assembly